RNAcentral lists this ribosomal RNA (405 nucleotides) under Mallomonas sp. RNAcentral's name for it is "partial large subunit ribosomal RNA". It matches the Rfam family "Bacterial large subunit ribosomal RNA", at positions 2081 to 2485 of the family's 2925-position model. The record is from RNAcentral. Lineage: Eukaryota; Synurophyceae; Synurales; Mallomonadaceae.
CAGAAAGACCCUAUGAAGCUUUACUGUAACUUGAAAUUGAAAUUGAACUUUAUUUGCGCAGCAUAGGUGGGAAGCGUUGAAAAUAUUUUUGCGGAAAUAUUGGAGCUAUCAGUGAGAUACCACUCUUGUGAUGUUGAAUUUCUAACUUUGAACCAUGAUCUGGUCAAAGAACAGUUUCAGGUGGGCAGUUUGACUGGGGCGGUCGCCUCCCAAAUAGUAACGGAGGCGUACAAAGGUUUCCUCUGAACGGGUAGAAAUCGUAUCUAGAGUAUAAAGGCAAAAGGAAGCUUGACUGUGAGACUUACAAGUCGAGCAGGGACGAAAGUCGGUCUUAGUGAUCUGACGGUACUGAGUGGAAAGGCCGUCACUCAACGGAUAAAAGUUACUCUAGGGAUAACAGGCUGA